This is a long non-coding RNA of Suricata suricatta (meerkat), 3141 nucleotides long. RefSeq lists it as uncharacterized. The record is from RefSeq and is a predicted model, not a curated record. The transcript has 2 exons. Lineage: Eukaryota; Metazoa; Chordata; Mammalia; Carnivora; Herpestidae.
UCAUGAUCUGAGCCGAAGUCAACCCCUUACCUGACUGAGCCACCCAGGCGCCCCUAGAAAACAAAUGUGUUUGAAAUGAAGAUGGGCUCUUAGGCAAAAGUUACGUAUUUGUUUUUCUUGCCUCUUUAUUUCAACUUUCUCUCAAGAGUUGAAUGCAUGGAAUUAAUUGUAGAAAAAUCCAUAGUUUUCAAGGAAAAAAAAUCACAGUAUAAAACACCAUUGUAAAGGAUAUUUAUCAUAGCAGAGAAUGGAAAAAAUCUUAAUUCCCUUAAGGGGAUGCUUAAAUAUGUUAUACUGCACCCAACUGAAGGAAUAUCAUGGCAAAUUUAAUAAUUUCUUUUAUUCUGGAACAUAUGCCUAGAAAUGAGAUUGAAAAGACAAAGCUACUAACAUUGCCUCUGGAUGGGAAUCACAAAUGAUUAAACUUUUUCCCUUUUAGCAUUUUCUCCUAUGAAAAGGUAAUACUUGAGUAAAAAAUUAUUCUAAUAACAAAAGAUAAUAGAAUAUUAAGAGGAAAAAACAGGAUUUUAAACUUCUGUACAUAGCGAAAAGCCUGGUGAGAAGUAGACCAAAAUGUUGAUAAUGAUUAUUUCUUAUACGGCUUUGUAUAUUUUCCAAAAAGAGCGUGGUAUUACUUUAUAGCCAAGGGUAUGGGGGAAGGCAUUUUGGAAGGGACCACUGGCAGAAUAGUGUUUGUACUUCCUUCAAACAUUAUAUAACACACAUUUUUUUUUAUGAGUAAUUCGGGGUCAGGGGAAAUGAAGUUAAAACACUGAAGCUAUUCUGAAUCAGUGAAAAUCAGCAAGUUCACACAGCAGUUCUGAUUAACUGUUUUCCAUUGUGCAGGACAAAGUACAGAGCAUUCAGCCUAUAAAAUUCUGGCCUCCUUUUGUAUAGGUGCGCACUGUGACAGCAUGAGGACAUGAAAGGGGAGCAUUGAUUUCCAUUCUGCCUGCAGAGAAAACAGCUUCUCUGGACUGUUCACUUCUUGGAUGUGGAGAUCCAGCUUUAUAGUUUUAUACCGGACCGAGGCUUUCAGAGCACACCUCCAUCCAUAGCUCAACAAAACUAUUAUCACAACUCCAGGUCUUGGUUCCUACAGCUCAUCAGUCUGUCCCUCCCCUUGCUGUUUUUAUCGGCCUACUUUGGGCCUCAGCAACAAGAAUGUCUUGUUGUACCUGUCCUUUGGGAAUCUUUUCCUACAACAAAUGCUAGAUUGUUCUCACUCCCUGGCUUCCUCGUUUGCUAUCAGUUAGAGUUGCUGAUACUAACAAUGUAUGUGCAGCUUGGUGCUGACAAAAAACCAAACCAAACCAAAAAUAAAUAAAUAAAUAAAAUCCCACAGGACCUAUUAGUUGUCCUAGAAGUUUUCAGUCUUAGUGAAACAGACAAAACAAUUUUGACAGGAAUGCUGCCUUGGAAGAUAACGGAAUCACAAACAGUCUGAGUUGCUGGCUGCCUUCUCUUGUUCUUCCCUUUGCUGCUGCUUCCCUUCUAAGAAGCUUCUAGUCACACUCCUCCCUAGAAGGUGGGGAGGGGAGAGCCAACACUGUUGAGCACUAUUAUGCAUCGGGUUCUGCAUUUGAUUUUCAAAAUCAACCUGUGAGGGAAGUUAUGCCAGAAAUCAAGGAACAGUCGGCUUAGUAUCUUGCCCAAAUCAGUUAACAAGAAUGUGGCCCUGAGACACAUAGGUAUCUUGUUAACGCCUGCACCACGGUCUCCCCUCUUAGAAACUCUGUUGUUGUAUUGGAAGCUUUUCAUGUCAGUCUCCUUCAGGUUCUGGGUUCCUCCAGGGUGUGGACUGUGUCUUCAUGCACAUGAGACAUUCAACAUGUCAUUUUAUUUCCUGCUCUUCUCUUCCCCUACCUAACACUAAACACAGGCUUGACUAUGCUGUCUAAUGAUGUGCCUUGCAUUCUCCAUAAUUCAAGCACAUAUUAGUGUUUAUGCCACUCGGUUUAACUGAGGACAUGCUGUCUAAUGAUGUGCCUUGCAUUCUCCAUAAUUCAAGCACAUAUUAGUGUUUAUGCCACUCGGUUUAACUGAGGAUAUAAUAACACAUGAUAUGAAUAGUACAAAGCAAUAUGUAUAUUAAGUGCUUAUUUGGGCGGUAGAGGAAAGGAUAUUAAUGAGGGCAGUAAUAGGCAUGGUAGAAAUAGACCUCAUAAAAGAUGUGGGAUCUUGAACCAUGGAGAAUGAAUAGAAUUGAGACCACAAGUGGUUACUAAGCUCCUAUCCCAUGAUAGGCCUGGUUCUCCAUAUGGGGAGUGAGGAAUCCGAGUAAAUAAGUCACAGAUAGACUAGAGAGGAGCCUUGGGACUAACUUGGUGCUUUCUAGGAGAAGACACCAAAGCUCAGAGCUGUCACAUAAAGAAUACUGCAUCCUAUGGAGAGACUUAGGCAAAGGGAAUAACUGAACUCUUCUUCCCCCAAAGAAUAUUUUUUAGGAGAGAGUCAAUGGAGAGGUGCCCACUGCCAACUAUUAAUUAGUAUCUUUUAGAUUCACCCUCAGCAAUGCUCCAGUCUCCUCAGGAAUAAAAUCAGUUUUUAAAAGUGUGAGAAGGACACAGCUUUUCCUGGAGAUCUUCCAGCUUUGAGUUAAUUAAUCUCACUUCUGAAGCUGUGAAAUCUUAAGGUAUCACACAGGUCCACAGGGGCCUGGAAAGAAAAUACUUAGACUCAAAAGGAUAACAUUCAUUUAAAUAUGUAAUUCAUCCACAGGCAGGGCUCAGUCUGUACUUUAAGAAGAAUUGUAAACUUUAGGUUGUAAGGAAAGUUAGAACCUGUGGCAACCAUUUUAAUUAUUUUCAGGAGAAAAUUGGAACCCAGGGAGGUCCAGCCCUUCCCCUUGGAUCCCAUAGUAAAUAGGGCUGAAACUGAAGUCUUGCGUCCAAGAACAGUGUUUCAAAUACAUUAAGGUUUAAAGUGGGUGAAAUGUCAGCAUAUAUUAAAAAAAAAAUCACUGGUAAGAGACACAGAGCAUGGGCACUGUGGUUGCUUCUAGGAGGGGAAAAUGAGUGGCCAGGGAACGGGGCGGCCUGGGGGAGAUUUAAUACUCACUGAAUACCUUUUUGUACCUUCUGAAUUUUGUGCUGUGUAUAUGUUACCCAAUCAAAAAAUAAAGAAAAUUAUUUUAAAGAA